RNAcentral lists this ribosomal RNA (253 nucleotides) under uncultured bacterium. RNAcentral's name for it is "partial 16S ribosomal RNA". It matches the Rfam family "Bacterial small subunit ribosomal RNA", at positions 524 to 776 of the family's 1533-position model. The record is from RNAcentral.
UACGUAGGGGGCUAGCGUUGUCCGGAAUCAUUGGGCGUAAAGCGCGUGUAGGCGGUCCGGUAAGUCCGCUGUGAAAGUCGGGGGCUCAACCCUCGAAAGCCGGUGGAAACUGUCGGGCUAGAGUGCGGAAGAGGCGAGUGGAAUUCCUGGUGUAGCGGUGAAAUGCGCAGAUAUCAGGAGGAACACCAAUUGCGAAGGCAGCUCGCUGGGACGUUACUGACGCUGAGACGCGAAAGCGUGGGGAGCAAACAGG